Molecule: ribosomal RNA, 475 nt
Filed under: Enterobacteriaceae bacterium
Lineage: Bacteria; Pseudomonadati; Pseudomonadota; Gammaproteobacteria; Enterobacterales; Enterobacteriaceae
Description: bacterial SSU rRNA
Rfam family: Bacterial small subunit ribosomal RNA
Source: RNAcentral
GCCCCGUCGGCGGACAUGUGGUUUAUUCGAUGCAACGCGAAGAACCUUACCUGGUCUUGACAUCCACAGAACUUUCCAGAGAUGGAUUGGUGCCUUCGGGAACUGUGAGACAGGUGCUGCAUGGCUGUCGUCAGCUCGUGUUGUGAAAUGUUGGGUUAAGUCCCGCAACGAGCGCAACCCUUAUCCUUUGUUGCCAGCGGUUAGGCCGGGAACUCAAAGGAGACUGCCAGUGAUAAACUGGAGGAAGGUGGGGAUGACGUCAAGUCAUCAUGGCCCUUACGACCAGGGCUACACACGUGCUACAAUGGCGCAUACAAAGAGAAGCGACCUCGCGAGAGCAAGCGGACCUCAUAAAGUGCGUCGUAGUCCGGAUUGGAGUCUGCAACUCGACUCCAUGAAGUCGGAAUCGCUAGUAAUCGUAGAUCAGAAUGCUACGGUGAAUACGUUCCCGGGCCUUGUACACACCCGCCCGUAA